Molecule: ribosomal RNA, 434 nt
Filed under: uncultured bacterium
Lineage: Bacteria
Description: bacterial SSU rRNA
Rfam family: Bacterial small subunit ribosomal RNA
Source: RNAcentral
GCCUAACACAUGCAAGUCGAACGCCCGUAGCAAUACGGGAGUGGCAGACGGGUGAGUAACGCGUGGGAACGUACCUUUCGGUUCGGAAUAACCCGGGGAAACUCGGGCUAAUACCGGAUACGUCCGCAAGGAGAAAGAUUUAUCGCCGAAAGAUCGGCCCGCGUCGGAUUAGCUAGUUGGUGAGGUAACGGCCCACCAAGGCGACGAUCCGUAGCUGGUCUGAGAGGAUGAUCAGCCACACUGGGACUGAGACACGGCCCAGACUCCUACGGGAGGCAGCAGUGGGGAAUAUUGGACAAUGGGCGAAAGCCUGAUCCAGCCAUGCCGCGUGAGUGAAGAAGGCCUUAGGGUUGUAAAGCUCUUUCAGCGGGGAAGAUAAUGACGGUACCCGCAGAAGAAGUCCCGGCUAACUUCGUGCCAGCAGCCGCGGUAAU